This 311-nucleotide long non-coding RNA is filed under the name Populus trichocarpa (black cottonwood). RNAcentral's name for it is "long non-coding RNA (PTRI_LNC001336)". Lineage: Eukaryota; Viridiplantae; Streptophyta; Magnoliopsida; Malpighiales; Salicaceae. The record is from RNAcentral.
AGAAAGAACGUCUUUGCAUACAAAUAUUCUUCACUAGUCUUGGUAUAUAUCCUUUUCCCAUCUCUCUCUUGUUCGUGUUUUCGUGCUCUAACUAUAUAUAUACACAUGAAAGAGUGACAGAAAGCAUUUAUCCUUGAAAAACUUUGCAGGCAUUCAUUAUACUUUCAUGCAUUAUAUCUGUGUCUGUGAACUUCAGCACAUUCAUGGUUAUCGGCAAGACCUCACCAGUUACUUAUCAAGUGCUUGGACACCUCAAAACUUGCCUUGUUCUUGGCUUUGGGUACACUCUGUUACAUGAUCCUUUCACAAUG